Transfer RNA from Laetiporus sulphureus 93-53, 71 nucleotides. It matches the Rfam family "tRNA". From Rfam's summary of the family: Transfer RNA (tRNA) molecules are approximately 80 nucleotides in length. The record is from Rfam. NCBI's taxonomy places the organism in Eukaryota, Fungi, Basidiomycota, Agaricomycetes, Polyporales, Laetiporaceae.
GCGUGUGUGGUGUAAUGGUAACAUAGGGUCUUCCCAUGGCCCUGCCUCGGGUUCGAUUCCCGGCGCACGCA